AAGAUUUUAAGUUAAUUUUAAACUAGUAACCUUCAAAGUUAAAAAUGCUUUAAGAGUAAA
Molecule: transfer RNA, 60 nt
Filed under: Mitjaevia dworakowskae
Lineage: Eukaryota; Metazoa; Arthropoda; Insecta; Hemiptera; Cicadellidae
Description: tRNA-Trp
Source: RNAcentral